This 454-nucleotide ribosomal RNA is filed under the name uncultured Acidovorax sp. Its description in RNAcentral is "bacterial SSU rRNA". It matches the Rfam family "Bacterial small subunit ribosomal RNA", at positions 925 to 1382 of the family's 1533-position model. Lineage: Bacteria; Pseudomonadati; Pseudomonadota; Betaproteobacteria; Burkholderiales; Comamonadaceae. The record is from RNAcentral.
ACAAGCGGUGGAUGAUGUGGUUUAAUUCGAUGCAACGCGAAAACCUUACCACCUUGACAUGUACGGAAUCCUUUAGAGAUAGAGGAGUGCUCGAAAGAGAGCCGUAACACAGGUGCUGCAUGGCUGUCGUCAGCUCGUGUCGUGAGAUGUUGGGUUAAGUCCCGCAACGAGCGCAACCCUUGUCAUUAGUUGCUACAUUCAGUUGGGCACUCUAAUGAGACUGCCGGUGACAAACCGGAGGAAGGUGGGGAUGACGUCAAGUCCUCAUGGCCCUUAUAGGUGGGGCUACACACGUCAUACAAUGGAUGGUACAAAGGGUCGCCAACCCGCGAGGGGGAGCCAAUCCCAUAAAGCCAUUCGUAGUCCGGAUCGCAGUCUGCAACUCGACUGCGUGAAGUCGGAAUCGCUAGUAAUCGUGGAUCAGAAUGUCACGGUGAAUACGUUCCCGGGCCUU